CCUACGGGAGGCAGCAGUGGGGGAUAUUGCACAAUGGAGGAAACUCUGAUCCAGCGACGCCGCGUGAGGGAAGAAGGUCUUCGGAUUGUAAACCUCUGUCAGUGGGGACGAUAAUGACGGUACCCAAAGAGGAAGCCACGGCUAACUACGUGCCAGCAGCCGCGGUAAUACGUAGGUGGCAAGCGUUGUCCGGAAUUACUGGGUGUAAAGGGAGCGUAGGCGGGAGGUGAAGUCAGAAUGGAAAAUUAUGGGCUUAACUCAUAACCUGCUUUUGAAACUUAUAGUCUUGAGUGAAGUAGAGGCAAGCGGAAUUCCUAGUGUAGCGGUGAAAUGCGUAGAUAUUAGGAGGAACACCAGUGGCGAAGGCGGCCUGCUGGGCUUUUACUGACGCUGAGGCUCGAAAGCGUGGGGAGCAAACAGGAUUAGAUACCCGAGUAGUC
RNAcentral lists this ribosomal RNA (440 nucleotides) under uncultured bacterium. RNAcentral's name for it is "partial 16S ribosomal RNA". It matches the Rfam family "Bacterial small subunit ribosomal RNA", at positions 338 to 795 of the family's 1533-position model. The record is from RNAcentral.